RNAcentral lists this ribosomal RNA (253 nucleotides) under uncultured bacterium. RNAcentral's name for it is "partial 16S ribosomal RNA". It matches the Rfam family "Bacterial small subunit ribosomal RNA", at positions 524 to 776 of the family's 1533-position model. The record is from RNAcentral.
UACAGAGGGUGCGAGCGUUCAUCGGAAUUCCUGGGCGUAAAGCGCGCGUAGGCGGCUUUGCAAGUCGGGUGUGAAAUCCCCAGGCUUAACCUGGGAACUGCAUUCGAGACUGCAUUGCUAGAGUAUGGGAGAGGGAAGUGGAAUUUCCGGUGUAGCGGUGAAAUGCGUAGAUAUCGGAAGGAACAUCAGUGGCGAAAGCGACUUCCUGGACCAAUACUGACGCUCAUGUGCGAAAGCGUGGGGAGCAAACAGG